AACGAACGCUGGCGGCAUGCCUAACACAUGCAAGUCGAACGAGACCUUCGGGUCUAGUGGCGCACGGGUGCGUAACGCGUGGGAACCUGCCCUUAGGUUCGGAAUAACUCCCCGAAAGGGGUGCUAAUACCGGAUAAUGUCUUCGGACCAAAGAUUUAUCGCCUUUGGAUGGGCCCGCGUUGGAUUAGCUAGUUGGUAGGGUAAAAGCCUACCAAGGCGACGAUCCAUAGCUGGUCUGAGAGGAUGAUCAGCCACACUGGGACUGAGACACGGCCCAGACUCCUACGGGAGGCAGCAGUGGGGAAUAUUGGACAAUGGGCGAAAGCCUGAUCCAGCAACGCCGCGUGAGUGAUGAAGGCCUUAGGGUUGUAAAGCUCUUUUACCCGGGAUGAUAAUGACAGGACCGGGAGAAUAAGCUCCGGCUAACUCCGU
Molecule: ribosomal RNA, 432 nt
Filed under: uncultured bacterium
Lineage: Bacteria
Description: partial 16S ribosomal RNA
Rfam family: Bacterial small subunit ribosomal RNA
Source: RNAcentral